ACGAAAUCCUCAGUUAAUUAUCCUUCGGGUGGAGUUUCCAGCCCGGAAACCCAGUCUCCCCGCGGUUGGAGAGAAGUGCCCUCCGUCCCUCCCGCCGCGAAGGCGCUGCCGGGGCUGAGGCAGAGCCCAGGAGCUCCCCCGGACCUGCCAGCUGCUGCAGGAGGAGUGAGAAGAACCCCAACCCGAGUACUGCUCCCCCCGAGACUAUUCUUACCCGAUGUUCACACAGAAACACAGACACAGGCCCAGUGAGGUCAGCUCAUUUUCCUGAGAGGCUCUGGCAGCGGCGCGUACCUCGUGUGCGGUGCCCAGCUCUUCGUGCAUGCAUUUCGCCAGCCGGGCAGCAGACGAAGUGGUGGUAUGAGGGGGGACCUUCUAAAAUCCCCCCCCGCGCCUUUAAACCGGGACAAAAGGCAGAAGCGCUCUCAAAGCUUAAGCCGCGUUUGCGAAUUCUCGGAGAGAGGCGGGUUCCUGUCGGGACGAAAGGGCCGGGGCCCGGGGGGAUACCCUGCGCGAAGCCCCGGGCGGGCAGGCGAGAGCCCCGCGCCGGCGCGUAGAGCCACCGGACUGCUCCCUUUUGUUGCUGCCAUUUAUUUACCCUUUUUUCUGCCUGGAUAAGAAAACCUGCGGAGACGCCGGGGCCCGGCGCCACGUGGGUUUGCCUCUGGGGAGAAGGUUGUGCCGCGGAGUUUUGUGAGGACGGAGAUUUCGGACUUGGGCUCAAACAGGGCUUUCGUUGUGCCAGUUAAAAAAAAAAAAAUUUAUAUAUGUGUGUAUAUUUAUCAAAAAUCAGCCAAGUUAACUGUAGGCGGUAGCCGAUCCUGGAAUUCGGGGCAUGCAGGGUGCUGGUUGUGUUCUGGAAGGUCGUGGUUGAUAGUUGAGUUGCAGUGAAAGUUCCCGAAAAGAUUCAGAUAUAGCAUAGGGUCCCUGAUUAUUAAUUUUGAUUUAAUUUUAUACAUUUCAUACCUAUAUAGCUCCAAACAAUUGUAGUGUGGGAAUUCUGUUUGUGUUGGUUAAUAGAAAUGCAAAGCAAAUCUUUAAUAAAGUGUUGUGAUAUAAGUUUUGGUAGGUCUACACUCCCAUUCUCCUUUUUCACUAAUGUCUGGGAAGUUUCUGCCUAAUUGUAUCAUUUUGAGAAAUAAUUUCCAGAAUAUUGGUUUAAAUCAGGUUGAUAAUGACAGUGCAUUUGAGAGGAAAUGUUAUGCUACUGCCAGUGAGAGGAGAGCAAACAGAGCCUCAUUGUCUAGUAAAGCAAUUGUCAGGGUACGGUACAGUGUCUACACUGACUUUGCCCAGUUGUGCUUCUUUCUUUAUUCCCUGUUUUAGCAGGGAACGUUUAAGCCACGUUCUGGGAGGGAAUUGUAUGCUGUAAUUUCUUCUGUUGCCCACGUUUUCCCUUUAAGGACAGUUGAAUAAAAGCUAUGUGAAAG
Long non-coding RNA from Empidonax traillii (willow flycatcher), 1430 nucleotides. RefSeq lists it as uncharacterized. The record is from RefSeq and is a predicted model, not a curated record. The transcript has 3 exons. Lineage: Eukaryota; Metazoa; Chordata; Aves; Passeriformes; Tyrannidae.